GCAAACUUGGUCAUUUAGAGGAAGUAAAAGUCGUAACAAGGUUUCCGUAGGUGAACCUUCGGAAGGAUCAUUACCGUAACGCGGCCGCCCACGCGGUGGCCACACGCGUUUAUCACCCUUGAUUUUGAGCACCUUUGUUUCCUCGGCGGGGACGCCCGCCAGCGAGGACCCCCCCAAAACCUUUUUGCAGUAGCAGUUUUUGUCUGAAAACAAAACAAAUCGUUAAAACUUUCAACAAUGGAUCUCUUGGUUCUGGCAUCGAUGAAGAACGCAGC
Molecule: unclassified non-coding RNA, 275 nt
Filed under: uncultured fungus
Lineage: Eukaryota; Fungi
Description: partial contains small subunit ribosomal RNA, internal transcribed spacer 1, and 5.8S ribosomal RNA
Rfam family: Eukaryotic small subunit ribosomal RNA (bases 1-73)
Source: RNAcentral